Electrophorus electricus (electric eel) is the source of this 1583-nucleotide long non-coding RNA. RefSeq lists it as uncharacterized. The record is from RefSeq and is a predicted model, not a curated record. NCBI's taxonomy places the organism in Eukaryota, Metazoa, Chordata, Actinopteri, Gymnotiformes, Gymnotidae.
UUUUCUCCGCCCUCGUCUGCUCCUCAGUUCCAGUCUGUGUUUGGUUGUCCCUGUUAUGUUCCCCUGUGUCUGAUUAAUCCUUGAUUGGUCUGCUUAUUUAAGCCCUUGGUUUUGUCUUCUAGUUUGUUGGAUAUUUUGCCAACCUCCCGGACCCGCCGCUGACUGGCGUAGCCCUGCCUCCGGACCUCCCGGACCCACCACUGACCGGCAAAGCCGCACCCCUGGACCUCCCUGCUGUGCUGCCGGUCGGUAUACCCGCAUCCGCGGGCCUCCCGGACCUGCUGUUGACCGAAGAAGCUGGUCCCCUGGUCUUUCCUGGCCCAUUGUUUGGGACAGCUGCAGGUCAGGACCUGCCAACCCUGCCACAUCCUAGGCCCAUCCCCGCACCUCAUACCAGGCCAGUCUCUAUGGUGACUCUUCGAGACUCUCCUGUGCCCUUAAUUGCUGCUACAGAUGUGCAUCCUAAGAUGUUUAGGACUUCUGCGGCCACACGUCGUAGCAAGCCAGUCCCCCUUAAGGCCUCUUUGUGGGCCUCCCAGACCCCUACUGUUCCUGUGUCCACACCAUAUGGUCUUCCUGUACCUCCUCUGCCCCUUGAGGCUGCUGCGGCAGCCCCCCCUUACUGCCCCAGAGUCUGCUCCUAAUGUGUCCUCAGUUCCUGUUUUGCCUGCUCCUGUUCCCGGUUUUGUCUGUGUUCCUGUCCAUACAUCCCUGCCUGUUUAUACUACCCUAGUGAAACCUGUUACCCUGCCUGGUGGCAUUAGUGUUCCCUUGCCCUUCCCAGUACCUGCAUCCAUGCCGAUUGUGAAUUUUGUUCCCGUUCCUGUGUCUGUUGUGCGGAAUAUACGUACCUCUGUCCUCGCUUCUGUUCCCGUCCCGGUUCCCACUCCCAGCGUCUCUCCUCUCCUUUCCUCUCUCAACUCCAUGCCCGCCUCCUCUUCCAGCCGCGUUGCCGGUCCGACUCCCUUUCCCUGUCCUACUUCCAUCCCUCAAUCUGCCCUGACUCCUGCACCUGUCCAGGGUUUGGCCUCGUAUCCUAUCUAUGCCCCUGGUCCUGCCACGAUCCCUGUCUGUAGUCCUGCCCCAACCCAGCUUCCACGUCUUUGUUUUGCUCCAUGUGUCCACCCAUCUGUCUCCUGUCCUGUCUCGUCGUCUCUGGCUCCUCCUAUUGGCCCUGUCUCUGCCUCGUGUAGCCCUUUUGUUCCCGCUCGAUGUCUUUCCUGAUCUCCUGCCUCUGUUUCUGGGUCUUGCCGCAUCUUACCUGUUCCGCUUGAAUGUGUCUCGUUGUACUGUCGUCGCCAUUGCUUUUCUGUUUGCUCCGUUCGUGUAUUAUUUUACCCUUGAUGUUACCCCCUUGCUUCUGUUCAUUUUGCCCUCUGUGUUCAUAUUUCCCUCAUUAAUAAAUGUUUCCUGCAUUUGCGAUCUGCCUCUCGCUUGUUCCUGCUGGAACCGCUACAUUAUGCUUUUUCACUCAUCUUUCUGAUUCUCCAAUUAUAAGUAGAAGUGACUUCAGUACAGUAUAUUUGGACAGAACAAAUAAUGCACAUAAUAAACAUUGUUGGCAAUCUGCAGAAACAAAACAA